CUACUGUGUCCACUCAGUAGUAUACAUAUACUACUAAUUGCUGGUAUGUGUUAUAAUAAUGAAUAAUCAAUAAAUAGAAAUAAAAUUAAUUUUUAAUAGACAGGGGAAAAAACAGACAACCUGUUAUCUUUAUUUACCUGAUCUCUUGACUUAGCCGUUUAAACCAACCAAAGAAAUUUAUACACGUUUUGAUCAUACAUAUUUAUCGCGUCACCGCUUUCUUACACGUUUACACCGGUUCUGGAUCCCUGUUUUAAUACAAUCGUUUGCUCACUUACAAAACGCACCUUUACUGGUAUCUGUAUACAAACAUACAUCGAAAAUGGAUUGGAAGCGAAUGCUGGUGUUGCCGGCAUUAUUGCUAAUUCUGAAUAUAGUUACCGCAGAUGAUGAAGUUGAACUUGAAGACAAAGUAGUAGUGAAAGCAGUUGUUGAAGUAAGUUUUAUGUUUUUAUUGAAAACCUCAGGGUGUACAGGGCCAACAAGGGUACUUAUAAAGUGAGAAACGGAAUCGAAACGAAACGAAACGAAAUAUAACGAAACGAAACGAAAUACAGAAAACGCACGAACGAAAGUGAAAAAUGAAGAACGAAAUAGCACGAAUGAAUCUGGGGUACUUAUAAAGUGAGAAACGGAAUCGAAACGAAACGAAACGAAAUAUAACGAAACGAAACGAAAUACAACGAAACGCAACGAAAUACAACGAAACGAAACGAAAUGAAAAAAUGAAGAAACGAAAUACAACGAAAUGAAUCUGACCCUUAUGUUAUGCAAUUGUGUGGUGCUGUUGAUGUAGUUAUCAUUGUUACAACCACGCUAAAACAGUAUGUAAGAUGAAAAGAAAAACUCCUUUGAUCUCUUAAUUGAGGAUUGUAAAUUAAUUUAUUGUUUAUUGAAAGACUGCAUACUUUUCUACAACCCCGUGUGGACGUGCUACCCGUUCUGACGUACAAUAUAACACUUUGAUGUUCCAAAAAAAUACUUUUUUAAAGGGCAUUGUCUUUCAUCCUGUCGGCUCCCUUUAUCAUGCCUGAGUUUAUAUAUGGGUAAGUUGUGAGCGUGAGAAAAAAAAUCAAAGGUCUUUGAAGUUUUCUAAAACGCAUUCAGCACCAGAUGUUGCACGGGCUCCAGCCGGGUAUAUAUAAAAGGAAUAUUUUUUAUUCAACCGUUAUUACGCAAAAUGGAGCCCAAUGAGAAGGAAAAGAAAAUGUAAGUACCCUUAUACAUGUACAUUUUAAAAUUUAUUUCGACAGUGUUAGUAGUUAAGGAAACAGAACUUAAAAACAUUUUGAUGUUGAGUCAUUGCAAUUUUUAGUAGCUAACCAGCUGAUAUCUGAUAUCUUUAUAGACCAUAAUGGCAAAAUAUUUCAAUAGCCCAGGUCAUAAUAAAUUGUGAAUAAAAAAAUGAUUUAUUUUAAGAGUAUUUUAGGGGUUUGAGGGUUAAUGUAUAUAAAUGGUCUUUAACGUCCAGUGGCAAGUUAAAUAAAUAUUCAGGACGAGAACAUUAGGGACGACAUCAAAAGUUCAAUGAAGGAUAAAAAACUUAAUUCAAAUAGUUUUUUCACUGACCCCCUACCCCCUAUUAACUUAAUUUGGGAAAAAUUGAUUGACCCAUAUGGAUAUAUGUAAAAAUCAAUGUCGGAUAACCAAAUCUUGCAGCAGUUUCAACCCCCACCCCAAACUAUUUGAAUUAAGUUUUUUUUAUCUUACAUUGAUCUUUUGAUGUCGUCCCUUAAUAUAAUAAGAUAUGAAUGUUUUACCCUGUUUUUGUGCAAGAAUUUCGAAAACGAUUCCACUCUGGUUUUUGUCUAUGUAUUUCUAUUUGUAUCCAUCUGAUGAGUUAAGCCCUUUUCAAUUGAUUUUUAUAGUUCGUUCCUAUAUUUUACUGUUACAUCACUGUCCACGUUAGGGGAGGGUUGGGAUCCCGCUAACAUGUUUACCCCGCCACAGUAUGCAUGUAUGUGUAUAUGUAUGUGCCUGUCCCAAGUCAGGAGCCUGUAAUUCAGUGGUUGCCGUUUGUUGCUGUGUUACAUAUUUGGUUUUUUUUUCGUUAAUUUUUUGUACAUUAAUUAGGCCGUUAGUUUUCUCGUUUGAAUGGUUUUACAUUUGUCAUUUCGGGGCAUUUUAUAGCUGACUAUGCGGUACGGGCUUUGCUCAUUGUUGAAGACCGUCCAAUAUAGGAACGAACUAUAAAAAGCCGUUGAAAAAAAAUCUUUUGGCCUUUAUAUCAGAAACGGAGAACUAUUGGGUACUACGGGAGUUUUUAACGACCUUGACUGGCUAUAAAGCCCUUGCACGGUCGGUACUAUUGGGGAAAAACAAGUUCCUGUCCUAAUAAUUUUUUUCGAAUAUAAGUACUUACAUAGCAUUUUAACCGACCGAUUAAACUCGGUAAAUCCGAGAAACUUGAGAAAGGGGAGAUCAUUUUUUCUUGUGAGGGGCGUCACCAUUUAAAUAUUUGUGUUCGUGACUCUUUCUGCACGGCAAAUUCAAUCCCUUUUACACCACCCGUAUUGAAAUCAUGGACCUGCCCAAUUACAGGGUCGUUGAAAAGACUUCUUUAUACAUGACAUUUGUAUAAUUGAAUUUGAAAAUAUCUUUUCUAUAUAAUAGUUUUAUUUUGAAGUAUUUGUAUUAUGAUUGAGGAAAAUUUCUUUUGAACUAAAAGGGCUGGGGAGGGGCAAUAUAUUUGAUGCUUUUGAAGAGGGUUUCGUUUCUUCAUUUUUACAUUUCGUUUCGUUUCGUUGUAUUUCGUUGCGUUUCGUUGUAUUUCGUUCGUUUCGUUAUAUUUCGUUUUUUCGUUUCGUUUCGAUUCCGUUUCUCACUUUAUAAGUACCUGGGCCAACAAUGGCAACAGUAAUAAUUGACAGUAUAAAUAAGACUUUUAGCCAAAGGGGUGUCAGAUCAUUAUGAUUAUUUCUAUUUUAUGUAUCUUUUUAAUUUUUACUAUUUCAUUCCAUUCUUUAUUCAAAUGACCAUUGAUUUCUAUUAUAUCCGUCUUAUACAUCUUUGACACAUUACCCAUUUUCAUUUUCAAUUUUAUGAAAUAUUUGCCACUGAACAGGCAUCAAAAAAUCAUGCAAUGGUCUGCAUGUGCAUUUGGUCGGUAUGGGAACCCUCAUGCCUUAUGGGUAUGAGUCAUUAGUGUUUUUCUGUAUGUGGCUACCUAUGGCAGUAUGGGUAAAUCCAGAACAUUGUAUACAAACAUAUUCAUAUUGUGUUUGUAAGGGAUUAUUUAAUACUAUGUUAACAAAGUUUUUUUGUUUAUUGUAGAGUUGUGGUGGAUGACGUUUGAACCGACUUCCAGAGGUCAAGAGAUUCAUCUAUGAUGAUAUCCCUCUGUUGUAUCCUUUACUUGUAUUCACUAAACAGGGGUUCAAAUUUGAUUUAAAUAAUGAAAGGUCCAGGACCAUUUGAAAUUCUAAGUGAAACAGGGGUUAAAAAAUCCACUAGCCCGACGCC
RNAcentral lists this long non-coding RNA (3462 nucleotides) under Mytilus galloprovincialis (Mediterranean mussel). The record is from RNAcentral. Lineage: Eukaryota; Metazoa; Mollusca; Bivalvia; Mytilida; Mytilidae.